RNAcentral lists this ribosomal RNA (440 nucleotides) under uncultured bacterium. Its description in RNAcentral is "partial 16S ribosomal RNA". It matches the Rfam family "Bacterial small subunit ribosomal RNA", at positions 338 to 795 of the family's 1533-position model. The record is from RNAcentral.
CCUACGGGAGACAGCAGUGGGGAAUAUUGGUCAAUGGGGGAAACCCUGAACCAGCGACGCCGCGUGAGUGAUGAAGUCUUUCUGUAUGUAAAGCUCUAUUAGUAGGGAAGAAAAUGACGGUACCUGACUAAUAAGCCCCGGCUAACUACGUGCCAGCAGCCGCGGUAAUACGGAGGGGGCAAGCGUUAUCCGGAUUUACUGGGUGUAAAGGGAGCGUAGACGGGAUUGCAAGUCUGAUGUGAAAGAUUGGGGCUCAACCCCAGGACUGCAUUGGAAACUGUAAAGCUGGAGUACAGGAGAGGUAGGCGGAAUUCCUGGUGUAGCGGUGAAAUGCGUAGAUAUUAGGAGGAACACCAGUGGCGAAGGCGGCUUACUAGACUGUAACUGACGUUGAGGCUCGAAAGCGUGGGGAGCAAACAGGAUUAGAUACCCGAGUAGUC